GGAGAGGUGUCCGAGUCCGGCUUAAGGGGCUCGCCUGGAAAGCGAGUAGACAGUUAUCUGUCUCGAGGGUUCAAAUCCCUCCCUCUCCGCCA
RNAcentral lists this transfer RNA (92 nucleotides) under Candidatus Frackibacter sp. WG11. RNAcentral's name for it is "tRNA_Ser_GGA". It matches the Rfam family "tRNA". From Rfam's summary of the family: Transfer RNA (tRNA) molecules are approximately 80 nucleotides in length. Their secondary structure includes four short double-helical elements and three loops (D, anti-codon, and T loops). Further hydrogen bonds mediate the characteristic L-shaped molecular structure. tRNAs have two regions of fundamental functional importance: the anti-codon, which is responsible for specific mRNA codon recognition, and the 3' end, to which the tRNAs corresponding amino acid is attached (by aminoacyl-tRNA synthetases). tRNAs cope with the degeneracy of the genetic code in two manners: having more than one tRNA (with a specific anti-codon) for a particular amino acid; and 'wobble' base-pairing, i.e. permitting non-standard base-pairing at the 3rd anti-codon position. RNAcentral also lists the same sequence under 2 other names. The record is from RNAcentral. Lineage: Bacteria; Bacillati; Bacillota; Clostridia; Halanaerobiales; Halobacteroidaceae.